GUGCUCGCUUCAGCAGCACAUAUACUAAAAAAUUGGAAUGAUACAGAGAAGAUUAGUAUGGCCCCUGCACAAGGAUAACAUGCAAAUUUGUGAAGCGCUCCAUAUUAAA
This 109-nucleotide small nuclear RNA is filed under the name Ursus thibetanus thibetanus. The record is from RNAcentral. Lineage: Eukaryota; Metazoa; Chordata; Mammalia; Carnivora; Ursidae.